Long non-coding RNA from Olea europaea var. sylvestris, 3622 nucleotides. RefSeq lists it as uncharacterized. Lineage: Eukaryota; Viridiplantae; Streptophyta; Magnoliopsida; Lamiales; Oleaceae. The record is from RefSeq and is a predicted model, not a curated record. The transcript is spliced from 3 exons.
UCAUCUCUAUCUCAAGCAAGAAAAGAGAUAUUGGCUUCUAGGGUUUCCCUCCAUUCUACAUCAAUUUGGAGGAUAUUUUCACAAAGGCUCUCGGCAAGGAUUUUUCUGUCAUUUCACUUGCAAGUUGGGCAUUACGGACCUUCAUACUCCAACUUGAGAGGGAGUAUAAAGCGUGAUUAUAGGGAUUUAGCUAUAAUUGAGAAGAUUAUUUCCUUUAUCAAAUGUUUUGUCCUAGAUUGAUUUCUUUCCAUGCAUGGUAGGAUAUGGAUGUAAUAUAUACACCAAUAUAGUGCAUAUUCAAUCAAUAAGAAAUUACUUCAUUACAUAUGAAACCUAAUAUGGUAUCAGAGCUAGAAUUUCUUCUACCACUUUUUUUGUUUUUGAGAUUUUCAUCAACUCUUUCUGUGUUCUGCAAAAAUGAAAGCAGAUCUCUAAUUUCUUCUAUUUUAGCAUAAUUCUGGAAAGUGCUAAUCCAGUACAAGUUCAGUUCCUGUCUUCAGAAAAUGGCGACAGCAACAUCAGAAUUCGUCCUUGACUCUCUGUAAUAAAAUUUCUCUACUCUAUCAGAUUUUGGUUCUCUGAACUUUCAGAGAUCUUUAUUGAUGGUUAGAGCCUCCACUAUUUCUUGUUUCUCCAUCAGAUCUGGUGAAAUCUGAAGAUCCGCCAGUUUGCUGCCAUUGAGAACAUCAUCCCUUUCUGCAAUAUGAACCUUACCAAGUUUGCCGUACAAAACAAGUCUCCUCAACUCUAAAAGCAUUGGUGGUGUCUACUUUUACUAGUUCCACCAGCAACAUGUUGCUGCAUUGUCAUGCAAUAAAAUCUUGUUUUGAAUCUAAUGAUGCAGUCUUUUGUUCUUUGAUUGAUGCAUAUUCUAGAUCUAGUGAUGUUAGAUUUUCCCGCCAAGUUUUCAAUCAACUUUACUUACCAAAUGCCAUUUGUUUCACAUCUAUGAUCAGUACACUGGCACGAAAUGGAAUGAGAAUGGAAUGUCUGGUGAUGUUUCGUGCUGAUCUAAUGGAUGCUCAUAUGUAUGGAUUCAAGAGAUCUGUUCUGCAAGGCUGUUCAUCAUGGUUUUUCUCUCCAGUACACUCUUUAAUAUUCAAGAUGAACUAUUGUUGAUCUCCAUAGUCUAUCUUGAGGGGGUGUGUUAGAAAUACAUUCCAGUUAGUUCCAGAAUAUUCCAGCUCAUGUUUAGUUGUUAGUUAGUUAGUGAUUAGCCUAUUAAUAAGUCAAUUAGUCAGUUAUUUACUCUUCUUUUUCUCUAUAAAUAGAGCCAUUGUAUUCAUUAAUAAAUCAUUGGAUUAUAUUCUCCAAUCCCUCCUUCUAUGGAGGUUUGUCUUCCUCCUAUUAUGGAAUGUUUUCUCAAUUAAUAAAUUCUAAUAGAUCUCGUGCUUUGUGUGUAUAGUCCAUGUUUAUUAUGUGAUGGCUAUGUAUUUUUUGGGUUUUCUUGACAUUAAGAAUGGGAUUUUAGGAUAUGAUUGGUAUUGUUCUAAAGAUGUGACGAUUCAUGAAUAUUAAAAAGGAAAAUUUGGAGGUGGAUGUAAUUCUUGUUUCAUUUCAUUGUUCUUUUUGUUAAGACUUGGGGUCCAUCUUAAUAAGGUCAACUUUGUUAAGAGGAGAAGCCCAAAAUCUUUAUAAGUUGGUCCUUAUUUCGGUAUUUUUACCGAUGUGGGAUUUAUAUCUCUUAACAUGUCCCGCAAGAUGGUGGCUCGUUUGAGCAAACCAAUCUUGAAAUCCGUGUGCUCAUUUUUUAGAGUCUUAACCGGAUCGAAUUGCUCGUUGGAAAUUAAUGGGCUCUGAUAUCAUGUUAAGACUUGAGGUCCAUCUCAAUAAAGUCAACUUUGUUAAGAGGAGAAGCCUAAGAUCUUUAUAAGGUGGUCAUUAUUUCGGUAUUUUACUGAUGUGGGAUUUAUAUCCCUUAACAUGUCCCCGCAAGAUGGUGGCUCGUUUAAGCAGACCAAUUUUGAAAUUCGUGUGCUCAUUUUUUAGAGUCUUAACCAGAUCAAAUUGCUCGUUGGAGUUUAAUGGGCUCUGAUACCAUAUUAAAAUUUGUGGUCCAUCCUAAUAAGGUCAACCUUGUUAAGAGGAGAAACCCAAUAUCUUUAUAAGUUGGUCAUUAUUUCGGAAUUUUUACCGAUGUGGGAUUUAUAUCCCUUAACACUUUUUACUGGAAUCAAAUACGUGAUUCUUUUUUCUGGAUUCCAGACUUCCAGUUGGCUUUUUGUUUUUAACAACAAUUAAAUUUAUGCUUAUUUUCUUCUCACAAUUAUGUUAGCAUAACUUGUUUCUAAUUGGAAGAAGCUUUGAUUUUUAUUUUCUUCAACCAUCAAAAUAUGAAUUUAUAUCAUGCAGGAUUGAUUGUGAAACGGUGGAAGGCCUAGAAAUUAAACAAUGGUUACGAUGGUCGUGGGAAGAAGCUCUGAAUUCCAAUGUAUGCUCUUACUCGGAGUGAACGUAUUGACUUUGCUGGUUCGGUUGCUGCCCUAUUAAGGAAGAUGGUUUUUGGAAGUGAAAUUACUGUCGCAGAUAAGUUUGUUUUGUUCUUGACAUCCUUAUUUUGUAUUGGACAGUUCUAUGUCGAAUAAUUAUCCUACUUAAAUCUGUACUGAUUUUUUGUUUAUUAUGUUAUCUAGUACUGCCAAACAUGUAGGUUGGAUUGAUAGAUGAAUGGGUGCUCGCUUCUGUUUGUUUUAUGCGUGAUGUUUAGUUAUUUUAAGUAGAUUAUAUGUGUGCUGGUUUAAGCUGGGAUAUUGUGACAAUUCACCGAGGUCAUGUUUGGCACUAAUGGAGUAUCUGGCAGGGAGGGUUGGAUAAUGUUUGUUAAGAAGAAGUAAGAUAAAAUUUUGUUUAUUAUGUUAUCUAGCACUGCCAAACAUGUAAUAGCAGUUCAAUUAUAUAUGCCUAUAUGAAAUCUGCCUCAUAGACACGGAGAAUUGGUCUGUAAUACUGUUCAAAUAAUCUUUCUAUGCGUGAUGUUUUGUGUUUUUAUCCUUUCCUCUAUUUCAGAUAUCAGUGAAAAUUUCUAGUAGCUAUGAUUUGAAUACACUUAUUUGAACUAUGACUAAGGUGAUUUCCAAAGGCCAGGUUAUGUAAACAUCGUAAUUGUGUUGUGGGCUUUCCCCCCUGGUGGAGAGGUUGUGAAAAUAUCCACGAUUAAAUGUGACACCUUUUAUGAUUUAUUCAGAUUAUUAUUGGAACUAUGAUCCCAUUGACUAAAACUUCAUUAUCAAUUCAAAAAUUUCAUGUUUAAUAAACUAUUAAUUCUGACUUCUAGUUGGCCUACUAGGAUUUUAAGAAAAUAUCUUGCACUCUGAGUUUGCAAUGAUCAUUCAUAAUAUUAUGCUAUGAUCACUGUGUCUCAUGUUCAGGAUUAAUUAAAAAGAAAGGUUUGAAAGGAUCAUUUGCUGAUGCAGGGUCUUCUGCUAAGGUUGCUCUAACAAAAGGUUGGAAAGUUGACAUAAGUGCUUUUGGAAAAGCUAGAGAAUUGGGAUCUGGUAGCUGUCAAAGUACGGGGGCAUUUUGUUUUUGAGACUAGCUGGAGAUUUACAUGGUGCAAUUUGGACUUUGUCUACUCAAAUUUUUGUAUGUAGUGAUUGUUCUUUUUUUUUUCCUUUUUUUUUUU